RNAcentral lists this ribosomal RNA (866 nucleotides) under uncultured bacterium. RNAcentral's name for it is "bacterial SSU rRNA". It matches the Rfam family "Bacterial small subunit ribosomal RNA", at positions 10 to 847 of the family's 1533-position model. The record is from RNAcentral.
AGUUUGAUCCUGGCUCAGAACGAACGCUGGCGGCGUGGAUAAGACAUGCAAGUGGGACGCUGAUUAGCAGGUAGCAAUAUUUGCUGGUUGGAGUCGCGUAAGGGUGCGUAACACGUGGGUAAUUUGCCGCGAAGCUCGGAAUAACUUGCCGAAAGGCAUGCUAAUACCGAAUGUGACUUGUGCUGGGCAUCCAGUAUCAGUCAAAGCCGGGGACCGUAAGGCCUGGCACUUCGCGAUAAGCCCGCGGCCUAUCAGCUAGUUGGUGAGGUAACGGCUCACCAAGGCUUAGACGGGUAGCUGGUCUUAGAGGACGACCAGCCACACUGGAACUGAGACACGGUCCAGACACCUACGGGUGGCAGCAGUCGAGAAUUUUUCACAAUGGGCGAAAGCCUGAUGGAGCGACGCCGCGUGGGGGAUGAAUGGCUUCGGCCCGUAAACCCCUGUCAUUCGGGAUCAAAUCUGGCAACCUAACACGUUGCCAGUUGAUAGUACUGAAAGAGGAAGGGACGGCUAACUCUGUGCCAGCAGCCGCGGUAAUACAGAGGUCCCAAGCGUUGUUCGGAUUUACUGGGCGUAAAGGGAGCGUAGGUGGCGGGCAAAGUCUAAUGUGAAAGCUCUGAGCUUAACUCAGAAAUGGCAUUGGAUACUGGCUUGCUUGAGGAUUGGAGGGGAGACUGGAAUUCUCGGUGUAGCAGUGAAAUGCGUAGAUAUCGAGAGGAACACCAGUGGCGAAGGCGAGUCUCUGGACAAUUCCUGACACUGAUGCUCGAAAGCUAGGGGAGCAAACGGGAUUAGAUACCCCGGGUAGUCCUAGCUGUAAACGGUGCGCGCUUGCCGUAGGUGGAUUCGACCCCGCCUGUGGC